This is a long non-coding RNA of Melospiza melodia melodia, 468 nucleotides long. RefSeq lists it as uncharacterized. The transcript has 2 exons. NCBI's taxonomy places the organism in Eukaryota, Metazoa, Chordata, Aves, Passeriformes, Passerellidae. The record is from RefSeq and is a predicted model, not a curated record.
UGGAGGGACGCUCUGGAACGGCGCCGGCGGGGACACGGAGGACACGGCCACGGCUUGCUGCGCUCCUGUCGGACCAGAGGGGAAAGGCGCUGCCUCUCCACCAUCUGCAGAGUCCAGCAGCUCAGGAAGUGUCCCAGGCCUCAGGAACAGCUCCCAACAUCCCCUGUCCCUGCAUGGAUCCCUACCUGUGCUCUGUGUGCCCGCUGAGGGCUUGCGACCUUUGCCUUUGGGAACUGGGGGUAGCAACUCCACCUCCUCCUGAGGCAUCUGGGCAACCUUCUGCAGAAAUAUCUUCUCCAGGGCUUGGGCCAUGAGGACAAUGUCAUCUGUGGGCUGAACAAAGAAGAAUAUGAGCCUUUGUUGUAUCAUUCACAUAUCUGAGAAGACCGGGCUUAGAAAACACUGAGGCCCUUCAAAUAAAUUAUGGUAUUCAAACGCUGACAAUAAACAGAUUAGCUCUUCUCCCUC